This is an RNA transcript of Xenopus laevis (African clawed frog), 4206 nucleotides long. It is a transcript of the gene named N-deacetylase/N-sulfotransferase (heparan glucosaminyl) 4 L homeolog, with no coding region annotated. The transcript has 15 exons. The record is from RefSeq and is a predicted model, not a curated record. Lineage: Eukaryota; Metazoa; Chordata; Amphibia; Anura; Pipidae.
GGUCCUUGAGAGCCCUGAUGUUGAUCAGCUGAAGGAAUUGGCUGCUUCUGCCAAUCAUAAUACUGCUAGAUGCCGCUCUACUUCUGGUGAUAAGAGAGAAAGGAAAAGGCACGGGCAGCAGCAGCAGCAGCAGCAGUGGGGAAAAAUGACUUUAGCUUUACACAAAGCCUAGCAAGGAGAGAAGAAGCAAGCAGCUGGUGUGGGUGAGAUUAAAUAGUUCUCACUGCAUUUCUGCCGGUCUCUUAGUGCUCCCUGGUGUUAUUCUGGUGUCCAAGCUAGAAAGUGCAUUAUAACCAUGCACUAAACGUGUGAAUCAUUCCAGCUGGCUGAAUGUUUAAGAAAUUCAGGCUGAGUGUGUGCGAGAGAACGUAACAGAAAGGGCUUGGCUGUGAGAGAGUUCAGCAGCUUUGCCUACUGAUGCUGAGAACUGAUAGGUAGCACUAAUUCUCUGAAAUCCGGGACAACAGAGCUCUGCUUCAGAGAACCUACCCUGCAGUCAAGUCAAGCAAGAACCAUCCAGGUAAUGUCAAACUAUUUCGUUGAUCGUAGAAAUCCUUUGGAUGGAAGAAAAAUCUGUUUCACUUAUCAGAACACACCUAAAUAUCUGACUGAACUUGCCUUGUAAGUUUUACAAUACAUGAAGUGCAAUGGUCACAUAGGCUUCUGCGAGGAGUGCAAGGCCACUUCUGUGCUCUGUUCACAAAGCCUCAUUAUGAAAAAAUAGAGAUUUACAACAUACGUGCUGAAAAAUGAAUCUUUUUAUAAAGCUAAGAAGAAGUUUCCGAACACUUGCAUUACUCUUAGUCACGUUCUGCCUGGCAAGUAUUGUCAUUUCAGCCUAUUAUUUGUUCUCUAGUCACAAGCAGGGAAUCAUCCUUGUUGAGACAACUGCGCAAACUGAAUGUGGUGAUGGAAAUGUAUUGCCUUACAGAACAAUCGAGAUCAAGACGGCUAAACCUAUUGAUUCUUCAAAAAAAGAUCUUACCAUUUUACUUUUUGUAGAAAGCCAGUAUUCUCAGCUUGGACUGGACAUUGUAGCAAUUCUUGAGUCCAGCAGGUUUCCAUAUCAUAUAUUGAUUGCACCAGGAAAGGGAGAUAUACCUCCUCUUACAAAGGAUGGUAAAGGCAAAUAUGCAAUUAUUAUAUAUGAAAAUGUUUUAAAGUAUGCAUCAAUGGACUCCUGGAACCGAGAGCUUUUGGAAAAAUACUGCAUUGAGUACAGUGUCAGCAUUAUUGGGUUUCACAAGGCUAAUGAAAACAGUUUGCUGGUUACUGAACUAAAAGGAUUUCCUUUAAUUCUUUACAAUAAUGUUGCUCUAAUGGACUGUUUUGUAAAUCCAAAUUCUCCCCUACUUCACAUAACAAAAGCUUCAGUAACUGAAAAAGGACCACUGCCUGGAGAAGACUGGACAGUUUUUCAGUACAACCACUCCACUUAUGAACCUGUUAUAUUAUCUUCAUUACAGUUACAGGGAACAAAUUCACAAUUACUAUCUGGAUCUUCCCAAUAUGCCACAGUCAUUCAGGAUUUAGGUCUUCAUGAUGGAAUUCAGAGAGUUCUGUUUGGCAACAACUUGAAUUUUUGGCUGCACAAGUUAAUUUUUAUUGAUGCUAUCUCUUUUUUGUCUGGGAAAAAGCUAAGUCUGUCUUUAAACAGAUACAUUCUUGUUGACAUAGAUGACAUAUUUGUGGGUAAAGAGGGCACUCGGAUGAAUAUAAAUGAUGUAAAGGCCUUGUUAGAGACACAAAAUUUGUUGCGCACUCAGGUUUUAAAUUUCACCUUCAACCUUGGGUUUUCAGGGAAGUUCUAUCAUACUGGCACCAUAGAAGAGGAUGAAGGAGAUGACCUUUUACUGCAAUCAGUGGAUGAAUUCUGGUGGUUUCCUCAUAUGUGGAGUCAUAUGCAGCCUCAUCUCUUUCAUAAUGAGUCCUCACUUGUGGAACAAAUGAUCCUAAAUAAGGAGUUUGCACAGGAGCAUGGUAUUCCAACUAACAUGGGUUAUGCUGUGGCUCCACAUCACUCAGGUGUCUACCCUGUACACAUGCAGCUUUAUGAAGCCUGGAAAAAAGUUUGGACUAUUCAGGUCACAAGCACAGAAGAGUAUCCUCACUUGAAGCCUGCACGCUACAGACAGGGCUUUAUACACAAUGGUAUAAUGGUCUUGCCUAGACAAACCUGUGGUUUGUUUACACACACAAUUUUUUACAAAGAAUAUCCUGGUGGCCCCAGUGAACUAGACAAAAGCAUCAGCGGAGGAGAACUUUUUCUGACAGUACUUCUAAAUCCUAUCAGCAUCUUCAUGACACAUUUGUCUAAUUAUGGGAAUGACCGCCUUGGCUUGUACACUUUUGUCAACCUUGUCAAUUUUGUACAAACUUGGACCAAUCUGAAACUGCAGACUCUUCCUCCGCUUCAGCUGGCUCAUAAAUAUUUUGACCUCUUCCCAGAACAAAGAGAUCCAUUAUGGCAGAACCCAUGUGAUGACAGAAGACACAGAGACAUUUGGUCUCGAGAUAAAACAUGUGAACGGCUACCAAAAUUUCUGGUAAUUGGACCUCAAAAGACUGGCACAACGGCACUUUAUCUCUUUCUACUAAUGCAUCCUAAUAUUAUAAGCAAUUUUCCUAAUCCAAAGACCUUUGAGGAAGUGCAGUUCUUCGGUGGAAACAACUAUCACAAGGGAAUCGACUGGUACAUGGAUUCUUUUCCUUAUCCAUCAAACACAACAUCAGACUUCCUGUUUGAGAAGAGUGCAAAUUACUUCCAUUCAGAGGAAGUUCCCAAGAGGGCUGCAGCACUGCUUCCAAAAGCUAAGCUUAUCACCAUUUUGAUUGAUCCAUCUGAUCGGGCAUAUUCCUGGUACCAGCAUCAGAGAUCUCACGAAGAUCCAGCUACAUUAAAAUUUAGCUUCUAUGAAGUGAUUAGUGCUGAUCAGAAUGUACCCUUAGAGCUCCAAAUGCUGCAAAGAAGAUGUCUUGUGCCUGGCUGGUAUGCGUCUCACAUAGAGAGAUGGCUAGCCUAUUUUUCACCUUCACAGCUGCUUAUAAUUGAUGGGCAACAUCUGAGAAGUGAGCCUGCUUCUGUAAUGGACGAGGUCCAGAAGUUCUUAGGUGUUUUUUCUCAUUAUAAUUAUUCAGAGACCUUAACAUUUGAUUCACAGAAAGGCUUCUGGUGUCAACUGUUAGAAGAAGGGAAAACAAAAUGUCUUGGGAGAAAUAAAGGUCGCAAAUAUCCAGCUAUGGAUUUAGAGUCAAGAGAUUUUCUUUCAACUUACUACCAACACCACAAUAUUGAAUUGUCCAAAGUUCUGCACAGAUUGGGACAACCAUUACCUUCAUGGCUCCGACAAGAACUACAGAAAGUGAGAUAACACUGGAAACAUGGAUUUUGAAAAUCUGCGGUUUCUACUAUUCAAAUUUUUUUAAAAAAUCACCUUGGGACACCUAUGAUUAUAACGACCCUCUGUGUAACUCAAAAUGUCAAGAAAGUUUAUAAAGUAUAUGCACGUGAUGGCAGAUAUUAGCCUCAUUAUGUCAGAUCUCAGCACCACAGUUGACAUAUCCUAUUUUAUAAAAGGAUACAUUCUAAAUGUAUCUUGGGACAACUGCUUCCUGCAUUUCCUUUAAUAAAGAGAGUUAUUUCUAUUGAAAAUUUCCAUUUACUCCAACAUAAGAUACUGUCUUAGAAAAUCAAAGGAAUGAAAACUGGAAUAGUGGGCACUGAUUGCCAAGUGAUCUGCUUAAGGAAGAUGUCAACAUGUGGGCUUAACUAAUAUUUGAACUUCUUCACAAGAGGAUUUCUUUACAGAAAAAUAAGAAAUGAGCUUUCCAUCCAUAUCAAAACCUAAUUUGUUCUGGAUAUAUACAUAUGUUCUUGUCUCAAUUCAAUCUCAGUUCAAUAUGAAAAUAAUCAGAAUUGCAAAACUUGUGGACUGAAUUAUGUUUAUUUUUAUCACACCAGUUUAAAAUACAUAUAUUGCAAGAUUGUCAACUAUAUAAAGUAACAGAUAAACUAUUUUUAUUUGAAGUAAAAUGUCUUUUUCCUUCACACCUUUGUUAUGUUGUAUAUGGUAUAUUAAGUAUUUCAGUGUUCUAACUUCAAACUUCAAAAAAAAAAUGGACUGGUAUGAAAUUGUUAUAAUCUGAUUCUCUCUGUAUUGAAGGGGAUCUACAUUUUAAAUACAAUCUAAUUUGACUUUAACUUGA